This 429-nucleotide ribosomal RNA is filed under the name Verrucomicrobiota bacterium. Its description in RNAcentral is "Verrucomicrobia bacterium partial 16S ribosomal RNA". It matches the Rfam family "Bacterial small subunit ribosomal RNA", at positions 355 to 777 of the family's 1533-position model. Lineage: Bacteria; Pseudomonadati; Verrucomicrobiota. The record is from RNAcentral.
UAGGGAAUCUUCCGCAAUGGACGAAAGUCUGACGGAGCAACGCCGCGUGAGUGAAGAAGGAUUUCGGUUCGUAAACUCUGUUGUUAGGGAAGAAAAAAUGUAUAGUAACUAUAUACAAAAGAGACGGUACCUAACCAGAAAGCCACGGCUAACUACGUGCCAGCAGCCGCGGUAAUACGUAGGUGGCAAGCGUUGUCCGGAAUUAUUGUGCGUAAAGCGCGCGCAGGUGGUUUAGAAAGUCUGAUGUGAAAGCCCACGGCUCAACCGUGGAGGGUCAUUGGAAACUAAUAAACUUGAGUGCAGGAGAGAAAAGUGGAAUUCCUAGUGUAGCGGUGAAAUGCGUAGAGAUUAGGAGGAACACCGGUGGCGAAAGCGGCUUUUUGGCCUGCAACUGACACUGAGGCGCGAAAGCGUGGGGAGCAAACAGGA